AGGUCUGUUGAAGAAGAAGAAGAGAGCAUUCAAGUCCUCUAGAAAAGGAAUAACCGAGGGCUUCUUCGAGUAAGAGUGGCCGAGAGCUUACAGGAAAGAAAACCUAGCGCCUCUUCCUGUUUCCUUCAAGGGAACAACUAGAGUGAGUGAAUAAAGCAAAAGAGAGAAGGAAAACGGAGGUGAAACAAGCGACGGAAUUGAAAGGGAAGAACAGAAUAGCGAACAAACAGAAUGUGAAGUUACAUAAUUCCAUUAUUAGGCUGACUCAUUUAUGGUAGGUAAAUUUCUGUGGAACUUAAAGAUUUUAUCACUGUGUGUUUUAGUGAUAGCUCAAUGGCAUGGCUUAAUUGGUGAGAACUUAAUGUGAUAAACGGAUUUUAUGACUCUACAUAAAUCCAAAAAAAUGCUGUGAACAUGUUGGUUCCUACAAGUUUAUGAAAGAGAAAGAGUAUGUUGAUAUAGUCCGCAAACUGAUAAACAUGAAGCUCUUUGAUGGAAUUACAAGAGGAUGUGAUCCGCUGUCAUUUUUGUGCUUGAGGCAGGAUGACGCUUUAAUUUAAGCAGAAUUAUCUAUUAGAUGCAAUUCUUGGGUGGUAAAUACAAUUUGUUUGAGUUUGAUAUGCAAAGCAUUCCAGAUUCCUUUUUUCCUGCCUUAAUAGACUUGGCUCCUACAUGCAAAUAAAGCCUGCUAGAGUCAAAUUCCAUCGCUCCAAUUUUAAUAUCGAGAGUGUGUCUUGUUCACUGUAUCCUGCUUUAGAAUUCUGUCCCCUUUUGUUAAAAAUAAAAAUAUAGUUGUCUUUUUGCUAAGAUUUUCAUUUUUGCUAGGUUCAUUUGUUGUGCACUUUUUCAUUUCUUAUCCAACAACAAGAUCAGUUUAUGAAAAAUAGAUUUCUUGCUGUUUAGGUCUCGGGAUUAGUAUUUAAUCAUCUUCAAGCAAUUGUUGCAUAUGUUGCAUAUGUUGCAAAUGCAUGAGAAAUAGGCUGCCAAGUUUCUGUUUGACACACAACAGUUUUGGUGCAUUUUUCCUGCAUUGGUCAUUCUGCUCCCAUUUGGAGUUUUUUCCCCUUACCAAGUAUUGCAUAUUUGUUUCUGAAUCGGUUUUGAAAAAUGGCAAAAACUCCUUCCUGCUGCAAAUGAGAAACCUCUAGAGAAUGUAAUUUUGAAAUGUUGGAUCUGAGGUCAAAGUUCUGGUCCAGAUCAGAAGUUUUUGGCUCUGGUUUGAUAGCUUGAGUCUUGAUCUGCUGUGAGUCUGCAUAAAGAUUUUUUCAAAGGGUCAGUUUUGGUGUGUUGCCCGCCCGCAUGAAGUUUUUAAAUCUGUUGCGAGCGUGAUCUCUAAACCUGCUUCCCAAAAAAAUGCAUCUUGAUGCCAGGAUCUUAGUGCCAGAAUCAGUAUAUGGAAGCAAUGCAUUAUGAAAAUUAUGUUAUGAAAAGUGGCAUUGUUUCUCUGUUUCUUUCUGGAGUGUCUUGCAGACCUUGUUUGCUCUUUGAUUAUGUUUAUUAUUAUUGUUGUUAUUAUUGCUGCUAUUAUUAUUAUUAUUACUAUUAUUAUUCUUUGGGUUCCUUUUUCUUUUUCUCUCCUUUUCUGUUUGGGGCAAAUACUUUCCAUUUUUCCUAGAUCUUAUUGUUACUGGAGUAUGUUUCUUUUGAUCAUGUUUUGAGGUCCAAAAGUGAGCUAAAACCAGUUGACAAUUUCCUGCCAAGGUGUGCAUAUCCUCUCUUUUUGCCUCUUGGUCACUGUUUUCUCUAAAUCCAUGGCUGUUUACGAGUUUCAGAUGAGAAAAGUGAACUGAUUGGAUGGGUCUUACUCUGGAAAGUUCAUUUUCUGGUUUAUAUUCAUGUUUGGUACCUUAGACAUAGAAGUCACUGGAGAAUCUUCUUUUUUUAAUUAUAAAAAUGUUUAUCUUAGACAUUGUUAAUAUGCUAUCCAGAAUUUGAAUGCUAACAUUUGUUUGAUAUUAAUGACUUGAUCAUAAAUGAGAAAGUUGGCUUGGGUCGGAAAUGGCAUUAUUAGGUAAUCCACCAAUGCCGUUUCUUGAGCUUUUGGCAUGAUUAAAUGUUCAACCUUGUUAUCAACGAGGAGGAAUCAUUUUAGGGUCCUCAAGAGGUCACAUUGUGCUUGUUGAGUUUUUUUUUUUUUUUUUUUUUUUUGUGUGUAAAUUGAGUGUAUUUACCUUUGCUUCUUGGACUAUUCCGUUAUAUAUUAUCUUGCAGAUUUUGAAUUUUUGUAUAAAAAUUAAAAUCUAACUGUAUACCAAAAGGUGGUGCCUAACACCCUACCACCUUGUAAAAUUUUGACCCAGAAUCUGGAUGAAAAUCAGUGCAUAUUUUUGGCUUCUAAUGUUACAUAUAAUAGCAGUUGUGGUGACUCUUCCUAUCUUUCUGAAAAUAAAAUCAAAUGUUCAUGGACCGUUUUCAACUCUCCUCCUUUCCUAUCCUUCACCAAUCUUUGUCCUUGAGCUCUUGUCCUCCCCUUUUCCUUCCCUUCCCUUCUUCUUCCCCCACUUCCCUCCUGUCAGAACCCAUGCAAUGCAGUGGCAAAUGGACUCUGCGAAAAUUUAAUUUAAUUUUUAAGAAAGAAAGGGAGAGUCAGCGCUAACCUUAUUAUAGGCAAGAUUAGACGCGAAAAAUAUGCACCAGUCUUUAUCCAGAUUUGGGCUUGAAAUUUUAGAAGGUUGGAAGGUGUUAAACACCCAUCUUGUGGUGUAGAUUGUGAUUCAGCUUUUAAUUUUUAGACUAAAAAUCAAGGACUGUAAGUUAAUAGAUAAAACACUACUAGCCUCUAACAAUAUUCUCGCUUAGAAACUAAUAUGGCUAUGUUUGGCGUAGUGGAAUAAGAGUAAUGGAUUCAAAAUUGCAUAAAUUGAUGGAAUCUAGAAUAUAUUAUUCAAAUGCUUCUUGAAAUUUUCUACAAGCUUGAGUUUUAUGUAUUUCUAAUAAAAUUUUUAGGGACUAGUUAAAUAGGUCUAAAUUUCUAGCUGUUUUUGAUAGAAUUUCUAAAUUUGUUCCAAACAACCUAUAUAACAUUGUUAUUCCCUAAUCUGGGAACUGUGUUGUUGAGUACCUUGGUAUUUUGGGGUGGUGCUUUUACUUCACGGAAGUAUAAGUUUCAGUUGAACAAGGGAAAUUGUAUCACAUUCAGGAAAACAUUAUAAUAUUUCCUGAAGUAAUAGAUCCAAUGCUGUGGCUCAAAUAGUCAAAUUCUUUCUUUUGAAACUUGUUAUAGCUGUAUCUACUAAAGGUUGUUCUUUGUUGCAGUUAUUUUACCGUCACUGCAGAAAUGAGUUUUUUUUCCCUUAAAUUAAAUAGGGAAGAGUUAUUUUAUUACUUUCAUGACCUAAUCGAGAUAUGCAGUUUUCUUUUGCAAUAUUUCAUUACAGGUCUCUUGUUGUGCCUAUUUAAUUCCUUUGGUUGCAUUUGCUGCAAAAUAAGUGUUACGGCAAUUGAAAUUGAUCCAGUUGCAGUAACUGGUGACUGGAAUUUGAUUAACUGUUGCAGUAGUGCUUAGGUUCUUUAUAAUUUUGUUCUCAUGGGUAAAGAAAGGGCUAUACAUCAGCUUAAGUUGCAUAUUUCUUGAAGAACCUAUUAACAGGCUCAGGUUGGAGGAAUGUAUUUUCUGUAGGGUGUCCUUAUUUUUAUUAAUCACAAGAGAAAAGAGAUACAAUAUUUAUGAUCUUUAAAUAAAAUGUUUGGUUGUGGAGUCAUUACUUGUUUAUUUCUCUUAUUCUCUCUCUCUCUCUGUUUCCUCCCUGGUUUUGCUAACAUUGUUAAUUCAAUUCUCUCUUAGAUGGAUGAAGUUUCUCUUAACACUGAGCCAAUCGAUGAUGAUGUUGAUGAAUUUGAAAUUGAAGGAGACUGUGGAAUAGUAGAAUAUGUCGGUCAAACUAGUGUAAUUCAAGGAGAGAAUCCGCUGCCUCCAGCUGUUGGAAUGGAAUUUGAGUCUUACGAAGAUGUAUAUUUCUUCUACAACUGCUAUGCCAAGGAACAAGGGUUUGGUGUCAGAGUAAGCAACACAUGGUAUAGAAAGAGUAAAGAGAGAUACAGAGGAAAACUCAGCUGCAGUAGUGCAGGCUUCAAGAAAAAGAGUGAAGCAAACCGACCAAGACCAGAAACCAGGACUGGCUGUCCUGCAAUGAUAAAGUUCAGGUUGAUGGAAAAUAGAAGAUGGAGAAUUAUUGAGGCUGAGCUUGAGCACAAUCACUUGAUUAGCCCAGCAAGUGGAAAGUUUUACAAAUCCCAUAAGCACAUAGGUAUUGGAACUAAAAGAACAUUGCACUUAGAUGGUCCGGAAGAAGCACAAAAGAUUAGGCUCUUCCGAACGAUGGUUGUUGAUGCAGAGAACAAUGGGGCUAUAGAUGUUGAUAAUAGAGAAUUCAGCAAUGAUGUUCACUACAACCAAUUGAAGCUCAAGGAAGGAGAUGCUCAAGCUAUUCAAAAUUACUUUUUGCACUCACAAUUGAUGGAUCCUAAUUUCUUCUAUGUGGUUGAUAUCAAUGAGAAAGGCUAUUUGAGGAAUUUGCUCUGGAUGGAUGCAAUGUCUAGGGUUGCAUAUCAUUAUUUCAGCGAUGUAAUUAUGAUUGACUCUUCUUGUUUGACAAACAAAUAUGAAGUCCCACUUGUAUCAUUUAUUGGAGUGAAUCAUCAUGGACAGUCUGUGCUCUUGGGUUGUGGUUUGGUUGCCGGGGAGACUGUAGAAUCAUAUACAUGGUUGUUUAGGGUGUGGCUCACCUGCAUGCUAGGACGCCCCCCGCAGGUUAUCAUUACUGAUCAGUGUAGAAUUCUAGACACCACUGUUGCAGAUGUUUUUCCUAGAGCUUGUCAUUGUCUAUGUUUAUCACAUAUCACUGGUAAAGUUCCUGUGAAGCUGGGAGGUUUUUCUGAUUAUGAAGCAAUUAGAACAGCAUUGAAUAGAGCAGUUUAUUAUUCUUUGAGGCCAGAGGAAUUCGAAACUUUAUGGGAAGAUAUGAUCCAACUGUAUGGAAUUAAGGAUAACAAAUGGGUUCAAACAUUAUAUGAAGAUCGUAAACGGUGGGUUCCAGUUUAUCUGAAGGAUACAUUUCUGGCUGGAGCAUUUCCCACCCAGCAAAAUGAGGUUGUGGUUUCAUUUUUUGAAGGUUAUCUUGAUAAACAUACCUCAUUGAAAGAGUUUUUAAAUAAAUAUGAUCAAGGCUUACAGACAAAUCGUCAGCUAGAAGUCUUGGAAGACAUGGAUUCAAAAAAUACGAGUGUUAUGUUGAAAUCAAGAUGUUAUUAUGAUUUGCAGAUUUCAAAAUUGUACACGAAUAACAUAGUUAGGAAGUUUGAAAGAGAGGUGGAAGGAAUGUUUUCAUGUUUUAGCACAAGACAAGGACAUGUUGAUGGCCCAAUCGUAACAUAUGUUGUAAAGGAAGAGGCUGAGGGUGACGGAAAUAGAAGAGAAACGAGGGAUUUUGAGGUUUUGUAUAACGCGACCGAGAUGGAGGUGGCCUGCAUUUGUGGUUUGUUCAAUUACAGGGGGUAUUUAUGCAGGCAUGCGCUCUAUGUGCUUAAGCAAAAUGGCAUCGAGGAAAUCCCAUCUCAAUAUAUUCUUCCGCGGUGGAGAAAAGAUAUCAAGCGUGUUCAAGUUCUUGAUCAAAGCUGCACUAGUAUUGAUACUAAUAAUCCAGUGCACAGGUAUGAUCAUUUGUACAAAUGCAUUGUGCAGGUUGUUGAGGAAGGAAGAAAAUCUCAAGAUCGAUACAAGGCUACGCAACAAGCAUUAGAUGGCAUAAUGAGCAAGCUUCAUCUUGUGCAAGAGCAUCAAGUGUAAUGUACAUUUAGAUUUAAGGUAGUAGCAUAUAUAUAUAUAUAUAUAUAUGUUUGUUUUGUGUAUUAAGUUACUAAAUCUGGCCUCUUUGUUGAGCCAAAACACUUUUAUUUAAGCAUGCAUAAGGAGGACUAACCCCUCUUGGGAUCCUUACAAGGAUUGAAUUGUAUGUUGACUCUGCUUUUGCACAGAGAAAUAAAAAGGAGAUAAAGCAUGUAUAUAGAACUGUGGCAGGGAUUUCUUAUUGAUAUGAUGAAAAACUUGUGGAAACUGAGGGGAAGAAUAGAGGAAAGAAUAUGGUCUAAGAAUAUGUUUUGUUUCAAUCCGUGCAAGAAAAAGAUUUAUGUAGAGCUCGACAAGGUGCCUCAGGGUAAUUUCAAAAGGCGAUGUCUACUUGGAAUGAAUGGAGGGGGAAGAGCAUACCUGUGAGAUACAAUGGCUUCUAAACCGAAAUAUGAGAUCUGCCAUUGAAUUGAAGUUGAUGACGAAUGAGGACGUGUAUGGUAUCAGAAAUAUACAAUGCUUC
Molecule: long non-coding RNA, 6308 nt
Filed under: Carica papaya (papaya)
Lineage: Eukaryota; Viridiplantae; Streptophyta; Magnoliopsida; Brassicales; Caricaceae
Description: long non-coding RNA (CPAP_LNC005090)
Source: RNAcentral